ACAAGUUUGUGGGGAUUGCAUGUGAGUAGAGGGUUUUGAUCAACAUCACGAUAAAUAGUACUGCGGUUGACUAUUGAGAAAGCGAGGGCUUUCAACCAGGUGGUUCCUGCUUUAGGAAGGGUUGACAAUAUUACGUCAGAAUCUUUUGCUUUGAAAUGCUUAUGAGCCGUAAGUUCUUGUUGGAAAAAUCUUUUCACAUACCAAAAGCCUUGGUAUUUCACCAUCGAACUGCCAUCCCAAUUUGUUUGUUGCUCAAUUGUUUGAAGCAACGACUCUGAAAACUCGUCAUCCUCUUUUGUGUCUUGUUUUUUCUCCAUUUAUACUGUUUUAAUAUAUUUCCAAUGAAUUAUAACUGACCCUCGUCUCUUCUUUUAUAGCAUGGGUUGAUUAUUAAUAUGCAGCAUUAUCAAUAUGAAAAAUAAAAGAAAAGGUUAGGCAUUAUAUUCAUAAUUAAGAUGUUUGGCACUUCUACAACAUACAUUUACAUAGAGAGCUAGGAAAUUAUUAGGAUGUGGAAAGUGGAACAUCUUGCAUUUCUACCUCCAUAUAAUUUUGCCAACCCCUAUUGAUCGUGUGGUUGAUAUUAGAUACACUACAAGAAAAAUGAAUUUUAGUGACAACACAAGUUGUCACAUUAGAUCGUAAAAUUGUCACAAAUGAGAUAUAUUGUCAAUAUAAUGUUGUCACUGCGUUGUCAGUAAUUCUGUGUCGCUAAUGCUCAUUGGUCAUAACUUACAAAAUAUUGUCACUUUAAAUUUUAGAGCACAUUGACCAAAACGAGUACAAACUAGAGCACAUUCUACGAAAUCUACAUGAUUAUGUCGAAUUUGACACCAUAAGGGUGGAGGUGUAAGAAUAUACAUACAAAUAUAUAUAUAUAUAUAUAUAUAUAUAUAUAUAUAUAUAUAUAUAUAUAUAUAUAUAUAUAUAUAUAUAUAUAUAUAUGGUUUUUUCCUGCGGUAAAAAUCCGUUACAAAAAGUACCUUUUGUGACGGACAAUUUGGGAGUCUUAAUAAAUGUUAGGAUUUACUUUUGAUUUUUUGUUUUUGGUAUCGUUGAUUUUUUUUGAAAAGCAACUUCUAACCGCUAACCGCCAUUUAUUCUAAUAAUAUUAUUGUGGUUGACAAUAAUUUUACCGGCAACAAUGUUAUUGUGUUACAAAAUAAUUUGGUUGCGUAACACAAUAAUAAUAUUGUGUUGACCGGUCAAAAAACUACAAAAAUAAAUAUUAUUGUGUUACACAAUAAUAUUAAUAUAUAUUUUUUUUAAUAUUACUGUGUUUGAAAAUAAACAAUAUUAAUUUGUUACACAGUAAUAUAAAUAUAGUUAAUAUUACCACAAUAAUACAAUUAGUAUUAUUGUUAACCACACUAAUAUUAUUGUUUGUACCAAGCCAAAAUGUCAAAGUUCACAUAUAUUUAUUAUAGACUGAAGGUGGGUGUAAGAUUGCAAUUUCACAACAAAACAUUACAAAAUUAAUGUAUUUAUAUUUUGGGGCCUUAAGAUAUAGGUCCCUAGUGACAAAACUUAUUAGAACUAAAUGACAACCUUAACUAAACAUUUGCUACACAUCCUUCAUAAAAUUCAUUCCAAAAAUGCCCUCCCACUCACAAAUUCGAAAUUUACAUUAAUUAAAAUUCAAAUUACAUUUAUUGUUUUUUUAGUCAGCAUUUAAUAUAUUUUAAUUUUUUCAACCAAACAUUUUAAUUUUUUUUUUAUAUAAAACACAUUUAAUAUCCUUUUCUUUUUCUUUCUAUUUCUUCAUUGUAGCAAUUUUUACACAAUUAAAAAUUUAUUUUUUCUCUUCGUAGUAUUGAAGAUUACGAAAAAAAAAAAAUUAAUUCAAUUUACAUAUUUUAAAUAUAUUUUUUUUUUUGAUUUUAUCUGUUGUUAAUACUGUAGUAGACUAUAGUAUACUACUGUCUAGUGUAGCAUACUACGGGGUACAAUAGUAUACUUGUGCUAUAGUAUACUACGGUAUACUAUAGUUUACUACGGUCUACUGUUCUAAACCCUAGCCGCAAAACAACUCUCAGCCGUCGCCAAACCCUAGCCGCCAACAAUUUGCAGCCGCUACCAACUUCUAUCCACCAAACCCUAGCUGCCAACCAAAACCCUAGCACCAUCAAAGAGGCCUAGAUUGAUGCAACCACCUCCCACCGUAGACUAACCUCACACCACCGUCUCCAAUGGCCAUCUGCCGCUAUAACCAUCUGCUCUAAUACAUGACAACCGCUGUGCUCUCAAUCGUCACAAGCCAUAAAUCAACGCUGCAUUACAGAUCUGUAAUUCGUCACGAGCCAUAAAUCACCGCUGCAUUACAAAUAUGUAAUUUUCCGACCGCCAUCCACCAUAGCCACCAUAAUUGAGUGAGCGAGAGAGAGAUAAAGAGAGAGCGAGAGGGAGAGGAAGAGGCGAUUGCCGUUUGCAUAUCUGCAAUUCUCCGACCGCCGUCCACCAUAGCCACCAUAAUUGAAUGAGCGAAAGAGAGAUAGAGAGAGAGCGAGGAGAGGCGGGAAAACAGAGGGGAUAGGCGAGGCGAGAGGCGAGAUACGAGAGAGAAAGAAAAGAAAAUAAAUCUGAUUAGUUGAAGAAACGUGAGAUAUUAUAUUUAGGGUAUAAGGGCAAACUAGGGAUAAAAUAAAAAUUAGGGAUGUGGGUCAUAUAUUAUUUCAAAGUAGGGAUUUAAUUAAAAGAUUGAAUAUAAGAUUGUCAUUUAGUUCAAAUUAGGUUUUAUUCAAGGGACUCUUAGCAUAUUAACCCUUAUAUUUUUGUAUGUUUGACCAGAAACCAUAUGAGGUAUUUGUUACGUUUCAUAAUUGAGGGAUGUGUAUGCGACACAUCUCAUAAUUUAGGGGUGGAAAAUGAACAUUUUCCUAAAAUAUAUUUUCAUUCAUUUCCAACUCGAUAUAUUUAAUAUAAAGUGUGAUACUCUAAAUAUUACUUUAAUUUAAAAACUAAAUAAAUAUUUGGGUAAAAAUCAUUUUGCACCCAUGAAUUAUGCGAAAAGUAUCAUUUAUCUCCCUGAUGUACAGAAAACAUAACAUAUCCCCCCCCCCCCGACCGACCGACUGUUGCAAAGAGCAGUUGGCCUUUUUAUUUUUUUUUUAUAACAAAAAUACCUAAUAAGAUUCUCUGUAUAUAGGUAGGCAGCUUAAUUUUGGCUCUUUUUCAUCAGAUUUUCACUCUUUUUAAUUAGCUUAUUUUUUUUCACUUUAUUUAAUUAUCUUACACUCGUUUCAGCCUUUUUUUUCCUUUGUAUCUGCAUAAAAAAAUUGAAAAAUCAAAUCAAUAAAAAUGAAGCUUUGCAGAUCAUGAAUGCAAAACCUACAAAAAAAAAAAAAAAAAAAAAAAACCUAAAAAGCCAUAAAAUUGAAAUAAUGUGCUCAUACAAGAGGUUUUUUGAAAAUUUUACGAAAACAUUGAGGAUGAUAGAAAUUUCGUACAUUUUGUUUCUUUUACAGAUCGAAGAGAAAGAGAGAAAUCUGAGAGUGAUAGGGCGGGUUGUUUAGAGAGUGAAACAACAUAGAAAAAAUGGGGAUUUUAUGAGACAUAAAGUAGGGUAAAAGAGUCAUUGCACAAUCAAAGUUAACAUUGUUAAAAACUUAAUCAUUGACCGUAAAAAACAGAGAGCGUUUGAUGUUUUCUAUACAUCAGGGGUAAAUAAUACCUUUUGCAUAGUUUAGGGGUGCAAAAUGAAUUUUAUCCUAAAUAUUUUCAACCCAAAUUGCUGGAUAAUUGAAGGUGAAAGAUGGAGAUUAAAUGGGGCAAUUGUGUCAUUUUAGGUCCACUGAUCCACUACCAGACGCACAUCCGGCGAGUGUGCCACACGAAAUUAAAGUACACCAGAGGGUUUUUUGCUAGCUUGUUUUUCACAGAGGGUAUCUUUUACAGUUUACUCUUUUAUUUUGGGGAAAAAUGUUUUGAGAAAAAAAAUAUUUGUGUUGUAGUAGUCAGUAAAGUUGUAGCAGCCAGUAAAGUUGCGGAAAAUAGAGAUCAUGAAUGUUUGAUUCACAUAUUUGAAGUGUAUUAACUCUAUAGUUUCAUUUCAAGUAUGUCAAGAAAGAAGAAACACAAGUCUAAAAGAGAGUUUAUUCAAGUGAGUUUUUUAAAUUCCUUUCUAUUUCGAAUUUUAUUCCCCGUUGCAUAUACUCUUUUUAAUUAUUGCUAGUUUAUUUAUCACAUGGGAGUUUUAGCUAUUUAGAGAUUACGUAGAUGUACUUUUUGCAGUUUAAUCCAAUAUUUGUAGAAUCUUUUGCUCUGAAAUGCUUAUGAGACAUAAGUUCUCGUCGGAAAAAUAUCUUCAAAUACCAAAAGCCUUAGCUUGGUAUUUCACCAUCGGACUGCCGUCCCAAUUUGUUUGUUGCUCAAGUGUUUGAAGCAACGAUUCUGAAAACUGGUCAUCCUCUUUUGUGUAUUGGUUUUUCUCUAUUUAUACUGUUUUAAUUAAUCCAAUGAAUUAUAACUGACCCUCGUCUCUUCUUUUAUAGCAUGGGUUGAUUAUUAAUAUGUAGCAUUAUCUAUAUAAAAAUAAAAGAAAAGGUAUAGGCAUUAUAUUUAUAAUUAAGAUGUUUGGCACUUCUACAACAUACAUGAAAGAAUUUAUGGUCCCGAAUUCGUAUAAUACAGAGAUGUUAUCUAAAAUGUUGUGACACUUGAGACAACAUGCAGCGGAAAUAUAAAGAUUAACAGACAGUACUCAGAAUUAAAAAUGUUCACAAGUAAAGACUUGUGAACUUGUCCUUUACAGGACGAAAAAUAUAUUAAAAUCAGUAUUCCGAGAAUACAAACAGAAGAGGUGCGAAAACUUCUUCCUUAUGAAUGAAUCUUUUUCAAGAUCAUUCUUACAAUCAAAUCUAGAUACUAAAAGAAAAAUAUUAAAAAUUCUAGAUUUCAAAGAUGUACUCGUGAGGAGUACGUAAAAAACUUAUGAAUGAAUCACUAUCUUGAUCAUUCUUACAACCAAGUCUAGAAACAUAUAUACUAAACAAUCUAGACUACAAAGAAUGUACUUAUGAGAAGUACGUAAAGAAUGUACUCAUAAGGAGUACGUAAAGAUUAUACUCAUGAAGAGUACAAACGACCGAUUCUAAAACCACUCUAAAACACUCAUGUUUUCUUUUCAGCUCUCGGUUUUUUUCUUCUUGGAAUCGAUAUCUUCCUUGAGUAUUGAAGUUGGUAUUUAUAGGCAUUCCAAGCAUCCACUCCUCAGCCCAUGAUCUGCAAGAAAACCAACUACAAGAGCACUCAAGAACAUGGGUUAGUGGGUUAGUGGGUUAGUUUAAGGAGUUAGAAUAAUAUUCACAAUUAAACCCACUUAAGCACUACUUAGCCCACUAAGCACUAUACUUAACCCACUAAGCACUAUUUAUUCCAUAACUAAAAUUUAGUUAGAAAAUAAGAAAGUUAAAAACAACAUGUGAAAAUAAUCCACGUAAUUCAAACUCCCCCUUUUUAACUUUCUGAUCAAAACUAAAUUUUAGCUUAACUCCCCCUUAGUCAUUACUUGAACUCCCCCUGAGUCAUUGCUUGAACUCCCCCUGAAUAUGAUAACCAAUAUAGCAAAUAACAAUAAUAGUGCAAUCCUAGCAUAAAAGAUCAGAGGGAACAUAACAAACUGAACAAAAACAAAUAUUGUUCAUAAAAAUAAUCUUUAGAGCAGAAUAUCCAAAGUGUCCUCAGUAUCAGCUGUUGCUCCUCCAUCACUAGCACUGGAUCCACUGCUUUCUUCUUCUCCUUCUUCAUUAACUCCUUGCUUUCUGCCUCUGGCAUCCAAAAGAUGAGAAGUCCCCUGCUUCAGCUUCAUGACUAGCUUUUUCUCCCCCUUUUUGAUCAGAAAGAGUUUUUUCGAAGCAUUUCCACCGUGGACUGGUGAUAGGUAAUCUGAGCUAGAGAAUGAGUAAGCUGUUGUAACAAGAGAUCUCUAGGAACAGAAACAAGAAUGUCAGGGAUGUUGUCAACAUGAGGAGCAACACCUUCAGUACCAAGAUUAUUUUGACCUGAUUCAGUUGAGAGAAAAUUAUCUCCAUUCCAGGGAAGAUCUUGGACAUGAGGAGCUUUGAGAAACUUUUGAGAAACAGUUAUCAUGCCAAGUGGAGUGUGAAGAUAUUAUGAUUCAUCUUGGCCCAAAUUUUGAGAAAACAUAAUGGAGUAGAUGAGAGAAGGAUACGAAAGAUGAGUGGAGGAUGAAAUUUUCUGGGCAAGAUGACCUAAAUUAUUAAAGAAAAGUUUGCCAAAAUCAACUUGUAAUCCCAUCCCCAAUUUGUACAUGAGUACUGCAUGAGGUUUAGUAACCACAGAGACAUUUUUGGAUGGAAUCCAAUUCAUCACUGUGAGUCUGAACAAGACAGAAUAAAAUGCAGUGAGUUGAGAAACUUUGAAUUUUCUGGGGUGAGCAGGCCAACAUUUUAAACGUUUGCCAGAAAGAGUCUUACAAACCUCAGUAAAAUCACCAUAAUUAUCCUCAUCAAUCACAGUAGGAGUUUGUAAAUGAGAGCUGAUAAUUUUGGGCGAAGAAAGAAAAAGAAAAUGGAAUUUCGCACAAAAACUUUGCCAAAGUUUGGAGAAUUUUUCUUUAAAAAAGAGGUUUGUAAAUUGGCAUAAAAUUCAAACUAGACUAAGGAUUUUUCUUUGAUCAAGAAAAUCAGUAAUCCUAUGUCUAUCAAAGUUUAACUCAUCCUUGGAAAUUUUCUUCUCCUCAAUGAAUUGGCAAUUCAUGAUUUGAGGACUCAAAUUUGAAUCAGAUUCAAAAUAAAAGAUAGUACUGAAAGCAUUGUUUACCUCAAAAGGAGUUGACAGAUCCUUCCCAUCCAAGUUCAGCUAUUCUUCCUCAGAAGAUUCCUUUUCUUCUCAGUCUUCAAGUUCAUCUGGGAUGCAUGCUGGCUCAGGUGAUGCAACACGUGGGGCAGCAUCUUCCUGCAUCUGAGAGAAUUCCUCAGACGAGUCACUGUCUGACUCUGAGAAUGGCAAAUUUUUGCGAAAAGUAGCAAGGGGAACUUCCCAGCUGUCAUCACUUUUCUCUGGUUCAUCAGCCCGAGGAGGUGAUGUAUCGACUUGAACAGCUGCUUCUGCAAGAGUUGCCAGAGGGUCUGCAUGUGGUGCUGAUGGUGUUUCUUCAGUGGUAGUGAAAUCCUGAGCAUCAACAGAGGGAAUGUCAACAUGCUCGGCAGAGGACAUCCCUGAAAAAUCAGGCAUUUCUUCUUCCUGGUAGGGAGCAACAUCCUCAGUAGCACUCUGUGAAACAUUGGCUGAGUCAGUGGGUGCAGCAGCAUCUUCAGGAACAUGUGCAGCAACAUCUUCGAAAACCGGAUGUUGUGAAGAGUUAUGCUGAAGUGUCUCCCCCUGAGUUGAUACUCGUGAAGUCGAGUCUUUGGAGGAUGACUCAGUGGAUCUUGAGGAGAGAACUUGGGCUUCUGAUUCUGCAAAGGUAGGAUCUCCUUCUUCAUCAUCCGUUUCUUCAUCAACCAAGUGAAGACCUCUUGGUGGAUUUGGCCUAACUGGAGUACGAACGCCUCUGCCGCCUCUUCUUCCACAUCUGCCGCCUCUGCUGGGAGAAUUUCCUCCCCUUCGACGUUGUGACCCAGUUGCGUUCAGAUCUGGGAAUGGAUUCAUGUGCUUGGACCGGCGAGUUGGAAUCCUUCCUGCAUUGGAAGAGGGACCCACGUUCUGGAAGUUGUCUGGGUCAAUCGGAUUCAUCUCGUCUCUGGGCUCAAUAAAGCUGAUCGGCAUAGCUUCAAGGUUGACAGGAUGAACGAUGAUGACCAGAUUUGGGUCUGCUGGUUCAGGUGCUGCAGCAUCGUUGUGGACAUCACCAGCUGCGGCUGGAAGAGGAUUUCUAGGAGGAGAUACCAUGAUACAGUAGAUAAAAAAUUGCUUCUUGUGCUUUUGAUUUCUGAGUGUGAAUUUUCGAAAAACAAAAACACGAAAUUUAGAAGCCCUAAUUUGCAGAAAACAAAACAUUGCAAGUGGAGAAGGUGACUACGUGUUGUGCGUUUACCUUGGAGAAAGUGUGNNNNNNNNNNNNNNNNNNNNNNNNNNNNNNNNNNNNNNNNNNNNNNNNNNNNNNNNNNNNNNNNNNNNNNNNNNNNNNNNNNNNNNNNNNNNNNNNNNNNNNNNNNNNNNNNNNNNNNNNNNNNNNNNNNNNNNNNNNNNNNNNNNNNNNNNNNNNNNNNNNNNNNNNNNNNNNNNNNNNNNNNNNNNNNNNNNNNNNNNNNNNNNNNNNNNNNNNNNNNNNNNNNNNNNNNNNNNNNNNNNNNNNNNNNNNNNNNNNNNNNNNNNNNNNNNNNNNNNNNNNNNNNNNNNNNNNNNNNNNNNNNNNNNNNNNNNNNNNNNNNNNNNNNNNNNNNNNNNNNNNNNNNNNNNNNNNNNNNNNNNNNNNNNNNNNNNNNNNNNNNNNNNNNNNNNNNNNNNNNNNNNNNNNNNNNNNNNNNNNNNNAGGAGUUUGACUUAUAUGAGUGUAAUUAUUGGCUAAAUGUUUACAUGAAGCAUGAUCACGUGUCAAGGUGAAAGACUUCCAGUUACUGAUUUAGAAAAUAAUACAUCACAGUGAAGUCAUUAUUUAAUGAAGCUAAUGCUUCAGUAAAUUGUGUUGCAGCUUAAGAUAUUUGAUGGGGUGCUGCAACACGUUCCAGGACAUGUUUAUUGAGUACACAUCCCGAGAGAUUUUCUGAGUUUAGAAAACCUCUCAUAAUCUAAUGCCUUCGUAAAGAUGUCAGCCAGCUGAUCUUGUGUAGAAAUGUACUUUAAGCACACUAUAUUUUUCUCAACUAUAUCACGAAUAAAAUGAUGUUUAAUAUCUAUGUGUUUAGUACGUGAGUGUUGAACAUGAUUUUUUGAAAUAUCAAUAGCACUUGAAUUAUCACAAUAUAUGGCCAGGGUGCCACUGGUUAACCCAUAAUCCCCCAACAUUUGUUUCAUCCAAAUUAGUUGACCACAACACCCUCCAGCAGCUACAUAUUCUGAUUCAGCUGUUGAAAGAGAUACACAGUUUUGCUUUCUACUAAACCAAGAAACUAGAUUAUUCCCCAAAAAGAAACAUGCACCUGAAGUGCUUUUUCUGUCACUAAUAUCCCCAGCCCAAUCAGAAUCACUAAAGCCUAUCAAGUUUGUAUUUGUGUCUUUGAAAAACUGAAUCCCUAAGUCUACUGUACCUGCAACAUACCUAAUAAUCCUCUUCACAGCUUUAAGAUGAGUGACCUUGGGAUUAGCUUGAUAUCUGGCACACACACAAACACUAAACAUAAUGUCAGGCCUGCUUGCUGUUAGAUACAGAAGGCUUCCAAUCAUGCUUCUGUAGAGAGUGCUGUCGACAUCUUCUGCAACAUCAUCCUUAGACAGUUUUUGGCUGUAACCCAUUGGAGUUUUCAUGUGCUUGGCAGAUUCCAACUCAAACCUUUUGACCAGAUUGAGAGCAUACUUCUUUUGAUUCACAAACAUUCCUUCACCUGUCUGUUUGAUUUGGAGUCCUAAGAAGUAAUUCAACUCCCCUACCAUACUCAUUUCAAGAGUGUGAGACAUAGAAUCUACAAAAGACUGCAAAAGGUUAGCACAAGUAGAGCCAAAAAUAAUGUCAUCAACAUAUAUCUGAACAAUAAUGAUAUGGUUAUUUGUUCUUCUAACAAAUAGAGUUAUGUCUGCUUCUCCUCUAGUGAAUUGUAUUUCAAGUAAGAAGUCAGUGAGUCUUUGAUACCAAGCUCUAGGAGCUUGUUUAAGACCAUACAGAUCCUUCUUAAGCUUGAGCACAUGAUCAGGUUUGGCAGAAUCUUCAAAACCCUUGGGUUGCUCUACAUAUGCUUCUUCAUUUAAAACCCCAUUUAGAAAUGCACUUUUGAUAUCCAUUUGAUACAGUUUGAUUAUAAGAAAGCAGGCUAUAGCAAGAAGUAACCUCAUAGAUUCAAUUCUAGCUACUUGAGCAAAAGUCUCAUCAAAGUCUAUACCCUCAAUUUGGGUAUAACCUUGUGCUACUAACCUAGCCUUAUUUCUAACCACUGUACCUUUUUCAUCAGUUCUGUUUUUGAAGAUCCACUUAGUUCCUAUCACAUUUACAUGGUUUGGCUUGGGAACUAAGUACCAAACAUCAUUUCUGAUGAACUGAUUCAACUCUUCAUGCAUUGCAUUGACCCAUAAUUCAUCCUUCAGAGCUUCUGCAAUAUUUCUUGGUUCUACUGAAGACACAAAACAAGUGGUUCCAGUUAGUGCACAUUCAGAAGAUAAAUUUGCAAAUCUUACCAUAUCUCUGUAAUUCACUCCCUCUUUUCUUCUGGUUCUUAUUCCAUCAAAGAUAUCUCCCACAACUUGAGUCGAUGGGUGAUUUUUCUGGAUUUUACUUGAUGGUUCCUUUCUGCAGACAUCAUGAGUUGGCUGCAAUUCAGCUUCUGUGCUCUCUGUAGGAAGUAUUGAGUCAGAUGUGGUAACACUUGGCUCAACACCCUCUUCUCUUGAUACUGGACUGUUUAUAUCUGGAGCAUCUGUGGCAGUAGUGUCUCCUCCGGUUGUUUCUCCUUCAGCAAUCAGGUCAUCAACUUCAUCUUCAGCUGUUUUACUGUGGAGAUCAGCAAAAUCAUCAAAUACCACAUUUACAGAUUCAAUAAUGGUUCGAGUUCUUAAGUUAUAUACUCUAUAAGCAUGACUGUUAUUAGAGUAUCCCAUAAAUAAACUCAAAUCACUCUUGGAAUCAAAUUUAGCUAGAUGAUCUCUAUCAUUGAGGACAUAGCAAACACAUCCAAACACAUGCAUGUAUUCUAGAUCAGAUUUUUCUCUUAAAAAAUACACCAAAAUAUAUCUCGAAAAAUCAACAACACACACAAAUACAUAUUUUUUACCACCUAGGCUUUCUACCUUUAUAGGACCCAUAAGAUCCAUAUGUACAUGUUCAAAACAAAUGGUGGUACCAACGGGUUGUAACACUUUGUGUGGUACCCUAGUUUGCUUUCCCAUCUGGCACAUUCCACAUAUAGGAAUGUCAUUGAUCUUGAGAUCAGGAAUUCCUCUUAUGACAUUGUACUUGUUGAGCAGCUUCAGAUUUUUGAGGUUUGUGUGAUCUAGUUUCUGGUGCCACAGCUCUAGUUCACUUACUCUUGAGCUCUUGCUUGAGAUCGUGUCACCUGUUUGAUAACAAUUAUCCAUUGAUAUGGAACCUGUCAGUACACAAUGAUUUUGAUUAUCAAACACACAACAACAGUAUUUAUCAAAUUGAGCCCGUAGAUUAUCAUCACACAAUUGACUAAUACUGAUGAGGUUUGACCCCAAUCCUUCAACAUGUAAGACAUUUGAAAGUUUUGGAAGUCCCUCAAUACUGAGUGUUCCACGUCCAACCACUUUGCCUUUAGCUCCUCCUCCAUAGGUUACACGUCCUCCAUUGAGUGUAUGGUAGUUUGAUAGAAGUUCUUUAGUUCCAGUCAUGUGCCUAGAGAAUCCACUAUCAACGUACCAUGAACCUGAAAUGUUAGCAUUUAAAGAAGUGUAUACUGCUUUGUACAUAAGUUUACCUUUGGGAGUCCAUAUUCUACACUCCUUUUUGGUAAAUUCUACCUUUUUCUUGGAGGUGUUCCCUGGAGUGCUGUGGCUCAUUUUGUACAACAUUUUGUCACUACUGAGUUUUUCACAAAAUGGACGAAUAUGUCCUGGUGAGAAACAAUAAUGACAAAUGCAUCCCCUUAUUCUGGACUCUGAAGUGGUGACUGUGAAAUUCCUGGAUUCCUUGUCAUCUGAACUCUUCUCUUUGACAACGACAACUUCUUUCUUCUUCACUGGCUUCUUCACUUGUUUCUUGAACCCUAGACCUUCCUUUUUGUUGUACUUUUCCAGUGACACAAUAUCUUUGAGUUUAGUUGUGUCGGUAUUCAUCCUCUUGAUUGUUAGAGUCGCUUCUUUGAGUUCAUCUUUCACCUUUGCCAGUUCAAGAUCCUUCUUGGUGAUACCAACCUCCAAAUGAGUGAUUGUUUCUUUGAGAGAAGGAUUUUCCUUGUUGACUGCAUCUAGAGCAUGAGUCUUCUUCUCCAAGUCACUGAACAAUUUCUUGUACAUUUCUUCCUCAUUACUAACUGCUUCAUUACUGGAUUCUGCUGCAUUCAAAGAAAUAGAGUUUAAACAUGUAUAAUGAUCAGUGUUAAAUUCUGAAAUUUCAGUUACUGAAAGUGUUUCAGAAAGUGUUGCAGCAUCCAGAAGAACUCCUUGUGAUUCUGUUUCAGAGGCACUUCCAGUGAGAUAUCUGACAGAAAGGGCUUGUUUAGAGGAUUGUUGUUCCUCUGUCUGUUCAGGUUGCUCUUCCUCCUCAUCACUGACCGCACAAAUCAGACUCAUUCCUCUUCUUCUCAAGGUAUUUGCACAUUCAUUAGCAUAAUGUCCAAAUCCUGAACAUGCCCUGCAUUUAAUAUGAUCCAAGUUAGGUGGUUCAGAAUUUGAACGAAUAAAGGAAGAAUUUUUUAAAUUGUUUUGAGAAGGUGUUUGAGGAAAUGUUCUCUGUGGAAUAGAUCUGUUCCGGGGCUGAGUUUGUCGAUUUUGUGGAGACCCUUCUGAAAAUAACUGCCUGGGCUUGAUUCCACUUCGUCUGUACUCCCUAUUGAAUUUCUGAAUCUGAAAUGCCACAUUGUUGAGGCAUUCUUCUGCAUCAUCAUCAUAUUCCGGAGCAACAUCUUCCUUCUCUAAUUCUGCUUGGAGUGCAUUUGAUAGAUCGUCUUUUGUCCACCGUAAUUCUGGUGUUGGAAAUACAUCCCCAUCCGCAUAUGUGAUAGUUGGUGGCUUCCAUCCAGUAAGAAUAGAUCUCCAAGCUUUCUCAUCAAUGGCUUUGAUGUACGCCCUCAUCUUGACUUUCCAGUAGGUGUAGGUUGUGCCAUCAAGUACAGGAGGUCGCAUAGAAGCAGUCAUCUGAGUAUCCAUCACGAAUUCGUUUCUGUAAAGAAAAUAGGAACAAACACUUAGUAUACGUCAAGUGUUGGCUCUUGAUGCCAAUUGAAAGAAUUUAUGGUCCCGAAUUCGUAUAAUACAGAGAUGUUAUCUAAAAUGUUGUGACACUUGAGACAACAUGCAGCGGAAAUAUAAAGAUUAACAGACAGUACUCAGAAUUAAAAAUGUUCACAAGUAAAGACUUGUGAACUUGUCCUUUACAGGACGAAAAAUAUAUUAAAAUCAGUAUUCCGAGAAUACAAACAGAAGAGGUGCGAAAACUUCUUCCUUAUGAAUGAAUCUUUUUCAAGAUCAUUCUUACAAUCAAAUCUAGAUACUAAAAGAAAAAUAUUAAAAAUUCUAGAUUUCAAAGAUGUACUCGUGAGGAGUACGUAAAAAACUUAUGAAUGAAUCACUAUCUUGAUCAUUCUUACAACCAAGUCUAGAAACAUAUAUACUAAACAAUCUAGACUACAAAGAAUGUACUUAUGAGAAGUACGUAAAGAAUGUACUCAUAAGGAGUACGUAAAGAUUAUACUCAUGAAGAGUACAAACGACCGAUUCUAAAACCACUCUAAAACACUCAUGUUUUCUUUUCAGCUCUCGGUUUUUUUCUUCUUGGAAUCGAUAUCUUCCUUGAGUAUUGAAGUUGGUAUUUAUAGGCAUUCCAAGCAUCCACUCCUCAGCCCAUGAUCUGCAAGAAAACCAACUACAAGAGCACUCAAGAACAUGGGUUAGUGGGUUAGUGGGUUAGUUUAAGGAGUUAGAAUAAUAUUCACAAUUAAACCCACUUAAGCACUACUUAGCCCACUAAGCACUAUACUUAACCCACUAAGCACUAUUUAUUCCAUAACUAAAAUUUAGUUAGAAAAUAAGAAAGUUAAAAACAACAUGUGAAAAUAAUCCACGUAAUUCAAUACAUUUACAUAGUCGCUAGGAAAUUAUGAGGAUGUGGAAAGUGAAACAUCUUGCAUUUCUACCUCUAUAUAAUUUUGCCAACCCCUAUUGAUCGUGUGGUUGAUAUUAGAUAUAUAUACCUAAUUCAAGUUGAAUCCUCUGUAUAAAAAAUGAUGUUUAACUUCAAUUUUACAGAUUAGGGUAUAUAUAUAUAUAUAUAUAUAUAUAUAUAUAUAUAUAUAUAUAUAUAUAUAUAUAUAUAUAUAUAUAUAUAUAUAUAUAUAUAUAUAUAUAUAUAUAUAUAUAUAUAUAUAUAUAUAUAUAUAUAUAUAUAUAUAUAUAUAUAUAUAUAUAUAUAUAUAUAUAUAUAUAGAUAUAUAUAUAUAUAUAUAUAUAUUAUUUAUAAUUUUUAAAUAUAUAUAUAUAUAUAUAUAUAUAUAUAUAUAUAUAUAUAUAUAUAUAUAUAUAUAUAUAUAUAUAUAUAUAUAUAUAUAUAUAUAUAUAUAUUUAAAAUACUAGUAUGGAAAAAAUGGUUUUUUACUGCGGUACAAAACCGUUACAAAACGUACCUUUUACUACGGACAAUCUGGGAGUCGUGAUCAAUGUUAGGAUUUACAUUUAUAUUAUUUUUUUCUGAUUUUUUUGGUAUCGUUGGUUUUUUUUUAAAAGCAAUUUUCCACCGCUAACCGACAUUCAUCGCUGUAAUAUUAUUGUGCUUGACAAUAAUAUUAUUGUCAACAAUAUUAUUGUGUUACAAAAUAAUUUGGUUGCAACAAAUAUUGUGUUGACCGGUCAAAAAAAUAUAAAACAAAUAUUAUUGUCUUAGACAAUAAUAUUAAUAUUUGUUUAAAUAUUACUGUGUUAGAAAAUAAAUAAUAGUAUUAUGUUAGACAAUAGUAUAGUUAAUAUCACCACAAAUAAUACAAUUAGUAUUAGUGUUAACAGCCCGUAUGGGUGUAGCUCAACUCGUUCUGGAGGUGGUAAAUUGGUACAAGGUCCUAGGAUCGAAUCUUGGCAGCCGCAAUGUGGGAAUUUCAACUUCAAUGAGGAUUGAUUCCUUGUGGGCACCAGGUCCAGGUCCGCUACCUUAACAUGCCGUUGAGUUAGCAUGAUUUAUAGUGAGAACAGAUGAAGGGGUAGAGAAAACCGGUGGUAAGGGAGAGGGUGGUGGGUUGGAGAAGGAUGGUGGUGAGGGAGAGAGAGGGGAGGUGGAAGAAGAUGCCAUAUUGACGGAAAAAAAAAUGGUGACUAGGGAUCUGUGGACGUGAGUCCUUUUGUGGCUCUGAUUACCAUGAUAAAACUAGAAAUGUUGAGAGGAUAAAGAUGAAUUCAUUUCUUGAUGUUUUCAGCAUAACAUGUUUACAAGUGUGCCUCUCUUAUAAAGGCCAAAAGAGAAUAAAUUAUGUUACAAAAAUUACAGACUGAAUGUUAAAAUUCACACAUAUUUAUCAUAGACGGUGGGUGUAAGAUUGUAAGUGCACAACAAAACAUUACAAAAUUAAUGUAUUUAUAUUUUUUGUAUAUUUGACCAGAAAAGGUGUAUUUGUUACGUUUCAUAAUUGAGGGAUAUGUAUGCAGCACAUCUCAUAAUUUAGGGGUACAAAGUGAACAUCGUCUUAAAAUAUAUUUUCAUUCAUUUCCAACUCGAUAUAUUUAAUAUAAGAGUAGAAAGUAGAUUGCCACCUAAACUAUGGGCCAUUUCGCACUUUCCCGCCCGAACAAAAUAUUUUUGCACGUUUCUACCUAAACACGUUAAUUCGUUGUACGGUGCCCCCUAAACUGAAGUUUCCGGCAAUUUUGAUUGGAAUGUUAAAACACGUGCGUUACACGUGAUAUUUGCAGGGGUAAAUUCUUCCCUUUCACUUAUGUUCUAUAUAUUAACUAUGAAUUAAUCAUUACUUAUCCGAUGAAAAUUUUGGGGGAUUUCGGUAAAUUUUUUGGGCUUGUUUUGAUCUUAGUGAAACCUUGGGUGUGUCUUUAAUGGCUUGAUUUUGUAGUUGUUCCUGGAAAUUCUUCUCUGCGCCGCCGUGGAAGUGGUGGUAGAAAGCGGAGAUACGGGUAGGGAUGGAGGAGAUUGUGGUGGGUUUCGUCGAUGAAUUUUUUCGACCCAUUUUCAACAUCCGGAAAUCCACUCGUUAGCCCUAAUAGCUCCGUGGAGAUGGUGUCUUUUGAUAUGGGGUUUUUAAAUUCUUUUUUGAAGAACACUCUUAGCCAUUGCAGAGGCCUCUGCCCCCAAGAUUUUGUAGGGGUUGAAUUUGCUGUGGGAAUAAUAUCUUUAGUGUGCGUUUGGGGAAUAUCGAGAUGAUUUAUGAUUAGUUUUGCUUCUUGAAAUUUAUUUUGCGUAGAAAUUGGUGCACAAAGGGCUGUGGAGAUGGAUAGAAGUAGCCAUGAUUCGAACCAUAUUGUUGGGGAAGAAGACAAAAAUGGAAGAGCGAAGAAAAAAUUGGAGUCAGACAAAAAUAAAAGUAAAAAGACAAAUUUGCCCCUCCAAAACUCACGUUAAUGGCACGUGUGUGAGAUCCCGGUGAUAUUUGCCGGAAAAUAGCACUUUUAGGGCACCGUGCAAUAGAAAAACGAGUUUAGGUAAGAACGUGUAAAAAAAAUUGUUUGGGGGGCAAAGUGCAAAAUCGGUCAUUGCUUUAGGGGGCAAACUGUUUUUUACUCUUAAUAUAAAGUGCAAUACUCUAAUAUUACUUUAAUUUAAAAACUAAAUAAAUAUUUGGGUAAAAUUUAUUUUGCACCCAUGAAUUAUGCGAAAAGUAUCAUUUAUUUUGGAGUAAACUACGAAACGUAUCCCUCUGUAAUUUCUAAAUAAUAGAAAACUCUAUGGGAUAAAAAAACUAGCAAAAAAAUCCUGUAAAAUUUUUUAAAUAACACAUUUGACCCAUUGUGGUUUUAAUCAUUGACUGAAAGUAAGAAGACAAAUAUACCCUUCAAUUAAAUAAUACAAAAUAGUGUUCACGUUGAAUUGAAAAAAAAGAAGGCAUAUUGCAAUUUAUGCUUCGAAACUCGAAUAAGGACUUGAUUGCAAUUUCUCCAAAGAACAUUCUCUGUACUACAUGCAUCACCACCACCCAACCUUCAAACAAUUCUUCAGCCCUCCGAGUUUGCUCAAUCACUCUAUUUUUUCAAAUCAAAAGUCAAGCAUGUGAGGAGAAUUCACAUUCGAAGUGCAGUUUGCCCUUUAUUCAAUAACUAAUGAUGAAAGCAACAUAAACACCAAUACCAACUAAUAAAGACACACUUAUUAGAGUCACAUAAUAAAAAGGAGAACAUAAAUCAAAGCACAAAACACACACACACACACACACACACACACACACACACACACAUAUAUAUAUAUAUAUAUAUAUAUAUAUAUAUAUAUAUAUAUAUAUAUAUAUAUAUAUAUAUAUAUUUAUUUUUAUAUAUAUGUAAGGACCAAGUGUCUUGUUUUUAUUAGAUCUUGAAUGUUAAACCAGGUGACCCCUGGAACUUGAUCUCCAUGAGCUUCUUCAUGCGCUCAGCCAUGGCGGGAGUCAAAUAAUUGCUCCAGUCUCCAACUUCUCCCUUCCUAAAGAAUGUACUAUUCUUAAAUAAACCUUUGAUAGAAUAUCCAUUCUUAUCCACAUUCUUCAAACUCUGAAAGCUGCACAUCUUCGAAAUCUCUUCAACCAUGCCUCGUUCUUCUUCCUCCGAUGAAAAAGGACAACCGAGAAAAUCGGCAAUCUUCUUCACAUUGAAAACAAUAUCCUCUUUCAUAUCCUCGUACUUUAGAAACAACACUUUACGAGGAUUCUCCAGAUGGGCAUUCCAGUAGCCAGUCAUAUGAUCCCAAAAGGGCCCGUACGGAUGAGUUCCCUCGCAAGCCAUAUCGAAACUCUCGUCUAAACCAAGUAGGCCCGCAUGAUCUUUCUCAAGCUUGUUUUCGGUUAAGAACAGACGAGCUGAGACGAACAGAUCCAAAGGGUUUCUACACACGUAGAUAAUUUUGCAUGCAGAUUCACGGAUCGAAUAAGCUAGGGCUUUGAAAGGCACGUGGGUCGCAAAGAUUCUUGGAUCAUUGGGUUUAUCUAAUUGAUUAGGCUUAUUUUCUUUAAAUGCGACUAGGAAAGGCACAAGUUUGUGGGGAUUGCAUGUGAGUAGAGGGUUUUGAUCAAUAUCACGAUAAAUAGUACCGCGGUUGACUAUUGAGAAAGCAAGGGCUUUCAACCAGGUGGUUCCUGCUUUAGGAAGGGUUGACAAUAUAACGUCAGAAUCUUUUGCUUUGAAAUGCUUAUAAGACGCAAGUUCUUGUCGGAAAAAUAUUUUCAAAU
This 18074-nucleotide long non-coding RNA is filed under the name Erythranthe guttata (spotted monkey flower). RNAcentral describes it as "long non-coding RNA (EGUT_LNC002512)". The record is from RNAcentral. Lineage: Eukaryota; Viridiplantae; Streptophyta; Magnoliopsida; Lamiales; Phrymaceae.